This 190-nucleotide non-coding RNA is filed under the name Brevibacillus brevis. RNAcentral's name for it is "Lysine sequence". It matches the Rfam family "Lysine riboswitch aptamer". Rfam says of the family: Riboswitches are metabolite binding domains within certain messenger RNAs that serve as precision sensors for their corresponding targets. The record is from RNAcentral. RNAcentral also lists the same sequence under 1 other name. Lineage: Bacteria; Bacillati; Bacillota; Bacilli; Caryophanales; Paenibacillaceae.
ACACUAAAUAGAGGUGCGCCGAAGAAGAGUAAGCCUUUUCGUAAUCUGCCAGGGGGCAGGAGAAGGAAGAAAGGCUAAAGCGCCGAAGCUUAUGCUAUGCCCCUACGUAGCACAGGCUGGGGUGUUUCAUGAAAAAUGAACAUCCUGUCACAAGGGACCUUACAUCUUUUUGUGGAGCGCUAUUUAUGAU